UACGUAGGGUGCGAGCGUUAAUCGGAAUUACUGGGCGUAAAGCGUGCGCAGGCGGCUAUGCAAGACAGAUGUGAAAUCCCCGGGCUCAACCUGGGAACUGCAUUUGUGACUGCAUGGCUAGAGUACGGCAGAGGGGGAUGGAAUUCCGCGUGUAGCAGUGAAAUGCGUAGAUAUGCGGAGGAACACCGAUGGCGAAGGCAAUCCCCUGGGCCUGUACUGGCGCUCAUGCACGAAAGCGUGGGGAGCAAACAGG
RNAcentral lists this ribosomal RNA (253 nucleotides) under uncultured bacterium. Its description in RNAcentral is "partial 16S ribosomal RNA". It matches the Rfam family "Bacterial small subunit ribosomal RNA", at positions 524 to 776 of the family's 1533-position model. The record is from RNAcentral.